Non-coding RNA from Myodes glareolus (Bank vole), 1354 nucleotides. Lineage: Eukaryota; Metazoa; Chordata; Mammalia; Rodentia; Cricetidae. The record is from RefSeq and is a predicted model, not a curated record.
CCCCCACCCCCGACACUGGAAGAUCGCCAGCACAUCUCCCAGCCCAGAGUCUCAAUCGCAAGGCCACCGAGGUCGGUGCAACCCUCCGGCUAGGGACUUGAGGCGGAAGGUGGCCCUCCCGGAGUUUCUAUUUUCCAUGCCUGGCAGCUGGUGUCGCUGCUCACCAACUCAUCAAGCUUGUCAUUCCAGCCUCUUGGCGGCCCUGUCUUUUCACCAAUAAAAACGGGGUCAAAUUUCUGCCCAGGCUAGCCUCCGGGGGAGAUAAAUGAGUAAAGGAAUAUGGAAGUAAUUAAGUAUGUAAUGCACACAAGGAAAAAUCUAGCAUUUGGGAGUACGACAUUUGUAGCACAGCAUGCGACAUGUUGAAUAACUCGAUCCUCUGAGCCUAACAGCCAUCACCUUCACCGGAGCAGCUGGGUUUCUUGCAAGAGAACCCGGAGGUAGAGCUUGUUGACUGGCGGCGGCCUUCCCUCACAUAAGGAGAGGUUGGGGAGAGUGGUUGGACCCUUGCAUUAGAUUCUGGCUGUUCCCUCCUGCACCUCCCAGUCAUUUGUCCUAACUGCUUGCAGCCUCACCAUCUUCUGAGAUGCUACAGUGUGCAGACUGUGGAAGGUUAAUUGAAGCCAGUUGGAUUGAUGGGGCGACCUUCAUAUGUGCAGCUAAGGGGAAGUGAGAUUAUUUUUUCCAGUAGCGCAGUUGCUUUGGGAGUCACCCACACUCCUGUAAGUAACCCCUCGCCCAUGCUCUGUGAGUAAGCCAAAUCAACUGUGGUUCUCCAGCUGGAUUUUGGCAAGUGUAGUCUUCACACCGCUGCAAGGAAACUGCUCUUUUCGACGGAUGAAGACCAUUACAGAAAACCACAGCCAAUUAAAAUACAGAGGGCUCAGGGUAGGAGAUGACAUGGAGGUGGGGCAUGCACCCGACAGACAGAUGGGACAGGCAUCAGCUCUGAAGACACCUGACUCACGCGUGCCGCUUGGCCUCCUGCUGGUCUGCAACCUACCAGACAUCGCUUCAUCUUGCAUGCUGUCUGCUGGCGUCUCCCCCAAGGACCCUGCUUAGCUGAAGGAGUCUGAUGAUCUAGUCUUUCAAAACCUCUGGAACCCUGACACUAGCUCGACUGAGGCACGGACAUGACAACACAGAUGUGACUUCAGGGGGCAGCACAUGAUGUCUACUUUGCUGGGUUAAAGACGAGACAUCAACUUGGGAUCUGCUGUGUAGUUUUCUCCCAGAGGCAGGAAGAGGAUCUGAGGCUGGGGGUUACUGCCACAUGAGAACGGCACUGGCACCAUAGUCAGCCUUGCUCCCUAGCUUUUGUGCCCUAAGAGCAUCUAUGAUUUCUCUUUUUCUU